AAAGGAUCAAAGCUUUGAGCCUAGAAAAAUGGCCCUCAAAGAAAGAAGACGGGGGAGCUGCGGGACUCUUUGCGAAUUGCUGCCUCAGUCCUGCCAGUGCCGUGCUUUGAAAGUGAAAACCAUUUUCCGUCGAAACAAACAGCACAGGGUUUUAGCGUUUUGGAGCAGAAGACCUAUACAGUACACAGAGUCUUAUUGAUUGGUAGAGAGAGUGAGAGAGAGUGUAAAUGGGAGGGUUAAAUGGUCUAGUGAAGAAGGGUUUGGGAGAGAUGGGUUUCAACGCAGAGGGUGGAGUCGUUAACUGGUUUCCGGGACACAUGGCUGCUGCCACCCGCGCUAUCCGAACUCGUCUAAAGCUCGCCGACCUGGUCAUUGAAGUUCGCGACUCUCGCAUUCCUUUAUCCUCUGCACAUGGAGAUUUACAGCCUCAGCUAUCCUCCAAACGCCGCGUGAUUGCUCUCAACAAGAAAGAUUUAGCCAAUCCUAACAUAAUGCAUAAAUGGGUUAAUUAUUUCGAUUCUUGCAACCAGGAUUGCAUUCCAAUAAAUGCCCACAGCAAGAGUUCUGUUAAGAAGCUUCUUGAACUUGUGGAGUUCAAGCUGAAGGAGGUAAUUUCGAGGGAACCUACUCUCCUUGUUAUGGUGGUUGGUGUUCCUAAUGUUGGGAAAUCAGCUUUGAUAAAUUCUAUCCAUCAAAUAGCAUCUUCUCAUUUUCCCGGAGAAAUUGAAGCGAGCUACAGUUGGCCCAUUGCCUGGUGUUACUCAAGAUAUUGCAGGAUACAAGGUGAAGUUAUUCAUUUUAUGCUUUUUCAUCAUAGAAUUUACUGCUCUCGGUAUAUGCAUGCAUGUCUUUGUGAGUUUGUGCACAUAUACAUCUUUCUAUCAAUCUACCUAUUUCCAAGCACAUAUGUCUAAAAACACGUCCACAAAAGCAUGCAUAAACAAUCUCUUAUGGAUUUUUUAAAGAAUGAUUGUAUUACUAUUAGCUAUUCUCUUUGCAAUGGUUAGCAAAUCAUUGGCACAACCUUCAUAUUUUCAUGUCAGUGGCCCUUCUUUUCUUAUUAUUAAUAUUUUUGUACCUAUGUUUCUGACUCCUUGAGCAUUUAAUGUAAGUCUGUCAAGACAUUUCUUGGAUCUGUUACCUUGUAUACAAAUUUCUUGCAGCAAAUUUAGGUCUCAAGCUUCUGGAGGGCCUGUUUUAUUCCUCAGGGCUUUUUAAAAUAUAUGUUACUUGACUUGUUGGAUUCUUAUGUUUUUAUUGUUGAUGUGCAGAUUGCUCAUCAGCCUAGUAUAUAUGUUCUGGACACUCCAGGUGUAUUAGUGCCCAGUAUUCCAGAUAUUGAAACAGGAUUAAAGCUAGCUCUUGCAGGUUUAAACUUUUUUUUUUGGGCAUUCUAUUAAAUAACCUACCUUCCUUUAUUUAUUUGUUUAUUUCUUUAUGAGGAUGAGAAUAACAAUGUAGAUCUCUACAACUUUAAAAAUUUUUGAUCUUGUUGGGCCUUGUUUGUUAUUUUAUGGAAAAAUGAAUUACAAUGUGAAUCACAUGGUGCAUUCAAUAUCUUCUGAAAGUUUUGAUAUGGUUAGGCUUGCUUUGUUAUUUUGGGGAUCAAAUGAAUUACAUGGAAAAUAAUUCUGGUAAGCUUACUUACUCUGUGGAAAUGUAGUUGAUACCAUGCAGUGUUGCAACUCAAAUAUUAUUUUCAAGUACUUUUUCUGGGGUUGGUUUUGGGGAGGGCUACGCAGCUGCAGUAAAGUUAGAGUUUGUUAUAUUCCUCUCAUUUACCUCAUAAUGCAUACUUGCAUAAAAAGAAUGUAGAAUACAGGUGUUUUUAUUUGUUUCUCAUAGUGGAAUUGGCUGAUAAAAUAUCCAUAUUUGCAAUAUUUUUGGCACUUGUAAUGCCUAUGUGAUGUUUUCCCCAAAAAGUAUGGUUCUUCAAAAGUUGGGUUAACCCAUUCAGAACUGAUCAAAUGGAUUUGAUUCCAUUGGUCUGCUGUCUGUCUCUUUGGACAGAUUUUAUUGAUUUAGUUGAUGAUUGCUCAGAUUCAGUUUUUACUUUGAUACUAAUUGUAAACUGACGAACUGAAACUCUACUUCAAAUAGGUUCUCUUUUGAAAUGCAGCUUUCCCGUUGUGGGGUUUUUCACCGUUGCACACAUAUCACCACCAUGCACUUGGCUCUACCACCAUUGGCAACACCAUCAUUAACAUGUACAUAACUUUUGGGUUAUCAUUGACCCUAUCAGAACAUAUUGUCAUAAUUGGCACUACCAUCACCAAGUAUUGCCGCUACUAUCACCAUACUGAGCACACCUAAUCUACUAUCAUUAGCACUAACACUACCACCGUUACCACUAAUCAUCAUUAUAACUACUGCAACCACAUGACCAAUCUUGGCAUUACCACAAUCAUUUCCAUUAUCAUUGGCCUUGUUAUCACCCUAAAACUGCAAUGGAAUUCAAAAACUGUUUUCUAUAAUAAACAAGCAAGCCCUAACCUCAGGGAACUUCCAUCUACUCAUAUGCUACCAUCCAAUGAUUAUUCUCAUGGUCUACUGUAUUUUUAUCUAGAUAAAAAAAUAUAUUUGAAUGAAUAUGCAGGAUCCGUGAAAGAUUCUGUUGUAGGUGAAGAGCGCAUUGCUCAAUACCUGUUGGCUGUUUUAAAUACUCGAGGCACUCCACUUCAUUGGAGACACUGGAAUAACAGAAAAAUGGAAGGAAUUCGAUAUGAAUCUCAGGACAAACAUGAGUAUAAUCUUAAGGAUCUUCUGCCAAAGAGGAAGAAACCACCAAAUAUGUCAGAUGUGUUGUAUAUUGAGGAUCUUGUGACUGAAGUCCAAUGCGCAUUGUAUAAAACACUGGCAGAAUUCAAUGGCAGUUUGGAGGAUGAAAAUGAUUUGGAGAAUCUUAUAGAACAGCAGUUUGAAGUGCUAAAGAAGGCAUUGAAGAUACCUCAUAAGACAUCUGAAGCUCGUUUGAUGGUAUCAAAGAAGUUUCUUACUCUGUUCAGGACAGGCAAGCUAGGCCCCUUCAUCCUUGAUGACGUCCCUGAGGUCAACUCUGUACCAUAAGAUCUUCUGGAAUUCCUUUAAUUAAUUAAUCAAUUAAUUUUUCUCAAGCGCUUUAUAGGGUGCUGUACGUACUCUGCAACAUCACCCAUGCUUGCAACAUUGUAUUCCCCCUAUAAGGUAUGGUUUAGAUUCUGGUGUUAUUGCAGGUUAGGUAAUUGAACCGGCCAAA
This 3235-nucleotide unclassified non-coding RNA is filed under the name Hevea brasiliensis (rubber tree). The record is from RNAcentral. Lineage: Eukaryota; Viridiplantae; Streptophyta; Magnoliopsida; Malpighiales; Euphorbiaceae.